Sapajus apella (tufted capuchin) is the source of this 521-nucleotide long non-coding RNA. RefSeq lists it as uncharacterized. NCBI's taxonomy places the organism in Eukaryota, Metazoa, Chordata, Mammalia, Primates, Cebidae. The record is from RefSeq and is a predicted model, not a curated record. The transcript has 3 exons.
CGCGGCUCCCCGGAGCACUGCUCCGCCACGUGAUCGGCAACGUGCCCGGAGUGAUCGGGCUGCGGUCCAGGGUACCGGAAGGGGGUGGUGGGUCACCGUUUCAUCAGAAGCCCGAGGACGGGCGCCAGGGGGCAGGGGCAACUUCCUAUAGGAAAGCAUCCCGUUAGAAUGACAGGGCUGUUUGCAAAGGACUGACAGCCGUGGCACAGAGAGUCCCAGAUAUGGAGGGUUUCACAGAUGGGCAGAUCUGAUAAGGGACCACCUGUGAAAUCAUCUAUUGUUGACUUGAACAAUCUGGGGCUAGGGGCAUGAACCCCCUGUGCAGUUGAAAAUCAACAUAGAAUUUUGACUUGCCAAAAACUUCACUACAAUAGCCUGCUGUCAACCUGAAGCCUUACCAAUAACAUCAGCAAUUAACACAUAUUUUGUGUGCUAUAUGUAUUCUAUGCUGUAGUUUUACAAUAAAGUAAGCUGGAGAAAUGAAAAUUUUAAGGAAAUCAUAAGGAAGAGAAAAUAUGUUG